RNAcentral lists this ribosomal RNA (558 nucleotides) under uncultured bacterium. Its description in RNAcentral is "bacterial SSU rRNA". It matches the Rfam family "Bacterial small subunit ribosomal RNA", at positions 358 to 916 of the family's 1533-position model. The record is from RNAcentral.
GGAAUAUUGGACAAUGGUCGAAAGACUGAUCCAGCCAUGCCGCGUGCAGGAUGAAGGUGCUCUGCAUUGUAAACUGCUUUUAUUCGGGAAUAAACCCCUUCACGUGUGGAGGGCUGAAUGUACCGAAAGAAUAAGGGUCGGCUAACUUCGUGCCAGCAGCCGCGGUAAGACGAAGGACCCAAGCGUUAUCCGGAUUUAUUGGGUUUAAAGGGUGCGUAGGCGGAUUGUUAAGUCAGUGGUGAAAGCCGACAGCUCAACUGUCGAAUUGCCAUUGAUACUGACGAUCUUGAGUGCGGUUGAGGUGGGCGGAGUGUAUCAUGUAGCGGUGAAAUGCUUAGAUAUGAUACAGAACACCGAUUGCGAAGGCAGCUCACUAAGCCACUACUGACGCUGAGGCACGAAAGCGUGGGGAGCAAACAGGAUUAGAUACCCCGGUAGUCCACGCCCUAAACUAUGAUCACUCGAUGUUGGCGAUACACUGUCAGCGUCUGAGCGAAAGCAUUAAGUGAUCCACCUGGGGAGUACGACCGCAAGGUUGAAACUCAAAGGAAUUGACGG